This 557-nucleotide non-coding RNA is filed under the name Riccardia incurvata. Lineage: Eukaryota; Viridiplantae; Streptophyta; Jungermanniopsida; Metzgeriales; Aneuraceae. The record is from RNAcentral.
CUUUACCAGGUUUAACCAGUAGAAUACCCAAGUCGAGAUCAAGUUACACGGAUCGAUCAGCGUCUAAUAAAAAGAUUUCACAAUACCGUCUUCGACUAGAAGAGAAGCAGAAAUUACGUUUUCAUCAUGGAUUAACAGAAAGACAGUUACUUAAAUAUGUUUGUGUCGCUAAGAAAGCAAAGGGGUCAACUGGUCAAUUUUUGUUGCAGUUGCUUGAAAUGCGUAUGGAUAAUACUAUGUUUCGUUUGGGUAUGGUUCCCACAAUCCCUGCAGCAAGACAGUUAGUUAAUCAUAGACAUGUUUUAAUCAAUGCAAGUAUGGUUGAUAUACCAAGUUAUAAUUGCAAAAUCGGAGAUAUAAUAACAAUAAAAAAUCGGGGAAAAAACCAAUUGAAACUUGAAAGCARUACAAAUUCAGUGCAGAAACCUGGAAUACCAAAUCAUCUAGCUUUAGAGUCAGUUGAAUUUCGUGGAUCGGUAAAUAMAACGAUAGAUCGUGAAGGAAUUGAUUUAAAAAUCAAUGAAUUGUYAGUUGUGGAGUAUNAUACUCGUCAAGUU